UUCCGUAGGUGAACCUGCGGAAGGAUCAUUAUUGAAUUAUGUUUCUAGAUGGGUUGUAGCUGGCUCUUUAGAGCAUGUGCACGCCUGUUUGGACUUCAUCUUCAUCCACCUGUGCACCUAUUGUAGUCUUUAGUUGGGUCUCGAGGAAGUGGUUCACCUAUCAGCAUUUGCUGGAUGUGAGGACUUGCACUGUGAAAGCACUGCUGUCCUUUACUUGACCAUGGAGUCGAUUUCUCACUGGAGUCUAUGUCAUUCAUUAUACUCUGUUGAAUGUUAUUGAAUGUCUUUUACAUGGGCUUGUAUGCCUAUGAAAAUUGUAAUACAACUUUCAGCAACGGAUCUCUUGGCUCUCGCAUCGAUGAAGAACGCAGCGAAAUGCGAUAAGUAAUGUGAAUUGCAGAAUUCAGUGAAUCAUCGAAUCUUUGAACGCAUCUUGCGCUCCUUGGUAUUCCGAGGAGCAUGCCUGUUUGAGUGUCAUUAAAUUCUCAACUCUCUUGUACUUUUUUGUAAAGGAGAGCUUGGAUUGUGGAGGCUUGCUGGUCACUUAAUUGAGGUCAGCUCCUCUGAAAUGCAUUAGCGGAACCGUUUGCGAUCUGCCACAAGUGUGAUAAGUUAUCUGCACUGGUGAGGCAAUUGCUCUCUGUGUUGUUCAGCUUCUAACUGUCUCAGUCUGUCGAGACAACUUUUUGAAUGCUUGACCUCAAAUCAGGUAGGACUACCCGCUGAACUUAAGCAUAUCAAUAAGCGGAGGAAAAGAAACUAAGAAGGAUUCCCCUAGUAACUGCGAGGAAAAGGGGGAAAA
This 802-nucleotide ribosomal RNA is filed under the name Agaricus sp. BAB-4736. RNAcentral's name for it is "eukaryotic LSU rRNA". The stretch from base 324 to 477 matches the Rfam family "5.8S ribosomal RNA". The record is from RNAcentral. Lineage: Eukaryota; Fungi; Basidiomycota; Agaricomycetes; Agaricales; Agaricaceae.